RNAcentral lists this ribosomal RNA (430 nucleotides) under uncultured archaeon. RNAcentral describes it as "bacterial SSU rRNA". It matches the Rfam family "Archaeal small subunit ribosomal RNA", at positions 474 to 903 of the family's 1478-position model. The record is from RNAcentral.
UACCAGCUCUCCGAGUUGUAGGGAUGAUUAUUGGGCUUAAAGCGUCCGUAGCUGGCUUAGCAAGUCUCCGGUUAAAUUCAGCGACCUAAUCGUUGAGCCGCGGGAGAUACUACUAGGCUAGGAGGCGGGAGAGGUCGACGGUACUUUCGGGGUAGGGGUGAAAUCCUAUAAUCCCGGGAGGACCACCAGUGGCGAAGGCUGUCGACUAGAACGCGCUCGACGGUGAGGGACGAAAGCUGGGGGGAGCGAACCGGAUUAGAUACCCGGGUAGUCCCAGCUGUAAACUAUGCGGGCUAGGUGUUGGGGUGGCUACGGGCCACUUCAGUGCCGCAGGAAAGCCAUUAAGCCCGCCGCCUGGGGAGUACGGCCGCAAGGCUGAAACUUAAAGGAAUUGGCGGGGGAGCACCACAAGGCGUGAAGCUUGCGGUUC